RNAcentral lists this ribosomal RNA (235 nucleotides) under uncultured bacterium. RNAcentral's name for it is "partial 16S ribosomal RNA". It matches the Rfam family "Bacterial small subunit ribosomal RNA", at positions 99 to 334 of the family's 1533-position model. The record is from RNAcentral.
CGGACGGGUGAGUAACGCGUGGGUAACCUGCCUCACACUGGGGGAUAACAGUUAGAAAUGGCUGCUAAUACCGCAUAAGCGCACAGUUCCGCAUGGAACAGUGUGAAAAACUCCGGUGGUGUGAGAUGGACCCGCGUCUGAUUAGCCAGUUGGCGGGGUAACGGCCCACCAAAGCGACGAUCAGUAGCCGGCCUGAGAGGGUGAACGGCCACAUUGGGACUGAGACACGGCCCAA